UCGACGCAGGAAUUUUGAGGACGUUGUCAAAAAAAACUUGAAAACAAAAAAAAAUUAGGAAAAAGCAAAACAGUUCGGAAUCGUAUGUGGAACGGAGCGUUAUGUUCGGGGAUCCGGGCUAAAAAUAUUUACGUGUUUUUUGUAAAUUAUAGGACUGAAAAGUUCUUUCCCAAUUCUGGUGUGUAGUGACAAAUACAGUGUACUGUUUGGAUAAGUUAUGAAACACAAGGCAUCUCAAAAUGUCGAACUUCAAUCAUGCAUCAGACAGAACUGGCAACACUGGCCCGCCUUCUGAAAUACCAAACCAGGCACACAGUGCACCUUCUGCUAGCAUUGUCGGUUUAGGGGGUACCACAUACACCUUUCCGGAUGUCACAAUAGUGGGGGGACCCGCUAGGAGCCCUAGAGGCCAUUCGAGAAGUGUAAGCCACGGUGGAGCCACUAAUAUAGUAGCGGGAGGUAGCAGUUCUGCCAGUGUGGUUGGCAGAUCAGCUUUGAAAGGAUCAAGAGGCCACCAGAGGGCGUUCUCCCAUGGCCAGAUCUCCGAGGCGGAGGUGUCCGGGGUCGGGCCGGAUAGACCUGGACACUCUAGGGGAGGUUCCAAGACUGAUUUUAUAUUGCCACCUGGACACAAAGAUACCGUUAGCGUCGAGGGGGCGGCCUCUAGGGUUAGUGCCAAGGGACAUUCUAGACAAGCUUCAAGGUCCGAAUCGAUUUACACACUUCGCCGAUCCGAUCCUCCUCACCUGUGGCAGAAAAUCUACUAUAGGCUCACGAGACGUUCGCCCAAGCACGAUCCGGAGGAGAGGAUCCGUACCGUAGUACCCAACCACACGGUUCCGCCAAAAACACCGCGCAAACAACAUCCGAACGGACGUCGGGCCGACAACCGUAUUAGGACUACAAAAUAUACCCUUCUUAGUUUUUUACCGCGGAAUUUACUGGAACAAUUUCAUAGGGUAGCGAAUUUGUACUUUAUUUUUAUAGUGUUACUGAAUUGGUUCCCGGCGAUCAACGCGUUCGGUAAAGAGAUCGCGAUGAUCCCGGUGAUGUUUGUGUUGGGCGUGACGGCGGUCAAAGAUUUGUUCGAGGACCGGAGGCGGCACGCGAGCGAUAAGAAUAUUAAUAAUAGCACCUGUAGGAUUUAUAAUAGUGAGCAUGCGAGAUACAGAAAAGUAUUAUGGAAGGAUGUGCGAGUGGGUGACCUGAUACACCUGUCAAAUAACGAAGUGGUGCCUGCCGAUAUCUUAUUACUAAGAUCCAGCGAUCCUAGCGGGAUAUGUUACAUCGAUACCGGUCAUCUGGAUGGCGAGACAAACUUGAAGCAGCGACAAGUGGCUAGAGGGUUUGUGGAAAAGCAAACUUGCUUUGAACCAAGCAAGUUCCGGAGCGACAUCGAAGUAGAAUCGCCUACAACGAAAAUCUACAGGUUUCACGGAUCCAUAGUGCACCCAUCGGGAAAACGAGUCCCUGUGGGCACCGAAAAUUUAUUACUUAGAGAAUGCUUGUUAAAGAAUACAGAUUUUAUUGAAGGAAUCGUAGUUUAUGCAGGUCAUGAAACGAAAGCUUUACUGAACAACGGCGGACCACGCUACAAGAGAUCGUCCCUCGAAAGACAAAUGAACCAAGACGUGCUGUGGUGCGUCCUAAUUUUGAUUUUUUUAUGCGUGGUUGGGGCCAUAGGAUGCAAACUGUGGCUCCUCACUUAUCCCAACCUGCCUCCUCCCUUCAGGGACGAGUAUUAUACUGAAAACGUUGAGGCUUUUUUGUCCUUUUGGACCUAUGUGAUAAUUUUACAAAUUAUGAUCCCUCUGUCUUUGUAUGUAACCCUAGAAUUGUGCAAAAUUUUACAAGUAUACCAUAUACACCAUAAUGCGGACCUUUACGAUCCUUUGAUGGACAAAAGGAUCGAGUGCAGAGCCUUGAAUAUAACCGAGGAAUUAGGGCAAAUACAGUAUAUAUUUUCCGAUAAGACUGGUACUUUAACAGAGAAUAGAAUGAUUUUUAGAAAUUGUAGUAUAGCUGGGAUUGAUUAUAACCAUCCGGCGUUAGAAAAUGAAGCUAAAAAUUCUAUUAAGCAAACCAAUUUAAGCGUAUUAGUAAACAAGAAGUUACUGAGUGAUCUCUAUCAAGAAGGCACCAUGUCCGACCAAAUUUUUAGCAGCAGAGCCUUACAUAGUGCCAGAAUCCAAGAGUUCCUUUUGCUCUUAGCAGUCUGCAAUACCGUUGUGUGUUCAAAUCAUCCGCAUCAUGACAUUAUGAACGCUAGUGGGAUCAUCGAAGCAAUUCCCAAUAUACCAACCGAUAUCGACGAUUCAAUAUCGAUCGCGCCAAAAACUGGUCCAAUAAAUGACAAAUACAGUAGAUUAGAAGAAUCACGCUCGGUCACACCAUCACCACCGUUAAACAGUUACGACUUAGAAAAAAGAUCUCAUAUGCCGACUUUAAGCACUAUAGACUCUGUGGAUAACUCGCCCGACUCCUUACAAAGUCAAAGCAGCUCGAGGUCCCUUAGGCCCAAACUGUUAAACAUUCCGAAUUUUUUAACUAGAAGGAACAACAGUAACACAAAUUUAACCGACGAAGAGAAGGUCAAAUUGAACCAAGCCUGCACUCCAUCGCCUCUUGAUUUAAAACCUAUUUACGAAGCGGAAAGUCCGGACGAACUGGCAUUGGUUGAUGCCGCUUAUAUUUACAAGUGUCGACUGUUAAAUCGAACCCCCACAGAAGUCACCGUGGACACUCCGAAUAGGGGCAGAAUGACCAUCAAAAUCCUUAUGAUUCUACCGUUCGACUCGACGAGAAAACGCAUGUCCGUUAUCAUCCGUCAUCCGAUUACCAACGAGAUCGUUUUAUACUGUAAAGGGGCGGAUACCUCCAUGAUACCUUUUCUGGUGCCAGCUGAAGAUGACUCGGAACAAGCGUAUAUCUUGAAUAAAACGCAACAGCAUCUAAGUGCGUAUGCCAGAGAGGGUUUGCGGGUGCUUGUGGUCGCCAAAAGGGUACUAAGCCAGCAGGAGUACAACGAAUGGUUUAGGAAACAUCAGGAAGUUGAACUGUCCAGCGAUAAUCUGGAUAAGAGGAUUCGGGAUAGUUAUAAUAGUAUCGAAAACAAUAUGGUGCUGUUAGGAGCCACAGGUGUAGAAGACCGUUUACAAGAAGGCGUUCCAGAAACCCUUUCCGCCUUAAUAUCCGCGGGCAUAGUAGUAUGGGUAUUAACUGGAGAUAAACCAGAAACAGCCAUCAACAUUGCCUAUUCCGCCAAGCUCUUUUCCCCCCAAAUGGAACUGCUAAAAAUCAUGGCCAGGUCAAAGGAAAGUGCUGAAAGCACUAUUCGUUGUUAUUUAGCUGACAUCAACAGGCAAUUAACGGAAGCAGAAAACAAUGCUCAAAAUAACCUUGCCGAAUUAAAUGCGAUUCCAUCGUGCAGCAAUGCGACACGUACUCGCACCCAAUCUACCACCAACAACCAUUUGGGUAGGGCGUUGGUAGUGGACGGCAAAACUCUUACUUAUAUUUUAGACAGAAGGUCGAACCUCACAAAGCCCUUCUUAGAGUUGACGACCCAUUGUAAUUCAGUAUUAUGCUGUAGGGCGACACCUUUACAGAAGGCAUAUAUCGUUAGGGUGGUCAAGGAAGAGCUUAAGAUGAGAACUCUUGCUAUAGGGGACGGUGCCAAUGAUGUUUCUAUGAUUCAAACUGCGGAUGUCGGCAUAGGUAUAUCGGGUCAGGAGGGCAUGCAAGCAGUGAUGGCGGCCGAUUUUGCGUUAUCGCGCUUUAAGUACCUCGAAAGAUUUCUGUUAGUGCACGGUCAUUGGAGUUAUGAUAGACUCGCUCGGAUGGUCCUGUAUUUCUUUUAUAAAAAUGCCACGUUUGUGUUCUUAAUAUUUUGGUACCAAUUUUACUGUGGUUUCUCCGGUUCAGUUAUGAUCGACCAAAUGUACCUUAUGCUGUAUAAUCUUUUAUUUACCUCACUACCUCCCAUUGCAAUCGGUGUGUACGAUCAAGACGCGCCCUACCGACUGCUACGAGAAAAACCGUAUUUAUACAGUCGAGGUCGAUUAGGCAAAGUUUACAAGUCCUACUCGUUUUGGUUAACUAUGGCGGACUCUUUGUAUCAAAGUGUCGUCGUGUUUUGGCUUUGCAAACUGGCCUACGACGGUAGCGACGCGGAUAUUUUUGAAUUCGGCACCGCUGCAACUACCGCGUGUAUGUGCGUCAUGUUACUUCACGUUUCUAUUGAAACAAGAUCCUGGACAAUUAUACACGCCGCCUCGAUAAUCUGCUCGAUAGGUGCUUUCUUCCUAUACUCGCUGAGUUACAAUACGUUCUGCGUAAACUGUUUUGGACUACCGAGCACUUAUUGGACCAUCCAGAUUUCGAUGCAGAGGCCGCAGUAUUGGUUGGUGACGGUGUUGGCGUCCGUCGUGGCCCUAUUGCCAAGAAUCUUAUAUAGGGUAUGCCAAACUAUGUUCACCCCGGACGAGGUGACGCGUGCGGUUAUCGCAGAUCGGAAGUGCCGCAGUAGAGGUGAGAAGUUUUCGGUCUCUUGGUCGCAAUCGACCUCCACGUCCUCUAUUUACAGAAGAACCAGUAACAGGAAUCAGCAUAACCCUCUAGCAGCCGUUACUUAAUGCUAAUCGACCAAAAACGAGAGGUAACAGGGAUGACAUAUUCGCUGAACUUAGUGAUCCUGCAUUUACGGGCUGUGAUGCAUAUAUUUAAGGGACCAACCGCAUUAUUUCAUUGCCUAAAUAAUACGGAUUUGAUUCUGAUUAGUGUUAAUGUAUUAGUUUUUUUUUUAUUUGUUUUGACAAUACAUCUUGUGCCAUGUCAAAGUUGUUGUGCAGCGGUCCAAGAUUAUAUUUCGCAGGUUAUUUAUUAAUUCCGCGGGAGUGCAUUGGUUACCAGUUGAAUUUUAUUUUAUUUUUAUGAAUUAUGACGGGACUGUUUUGAAGAAAAUUUUGCACUUUUUCGUUUUGUUUAUUUACUGGUUUAUAAUUAAAAAGUUGUGCCUUUUAGAUAGGUGACCGUUAUUUUCUUCAGUACAGUCUUUUAUUAGGUAAUUGUGUGUAUUUAUUUUAUAUAUUUAUUAUUGUAAAUAGCUAUAGAACGUGGUCCUAUCAGAGAAAGUAUAGAGCAUAUCAAGCGUAAGAAUAAUAUAACCAACUAUUUAUAAAGCAGCUGCCUGUGCUGAAUCUAUUUUUUAUACCUCGGGUCUUAGACGCCCUACUAAUUAUUAUUAAUAAAUUUUUAUUUAUAUAUAAACAUAAGUGGAAAAGACAAAUCUAACCCAAAACUCAACAGAUUUCGACGUAUUGGGUAUGUCACUUUAGAGUUUGACCAUUAUAUUAUGUUCAUAUGGGAUCUCGACCAAGAUCUCACAUUUUUUAUUCUUCGACUGUUGAAUCCUAGAAAAUUACAUGGAACCAGACCUCUCAUCUGGAUAUAUUCAAUAUUUUGUUGCCAUAUUUUUUUAAUUAUUAAUUUUAGUUAUAAUAAACAAUAUGGUCUUCUUGCAUACUAAAGGCAUUUUUUUCAAUAUAAGAAAAGGAAACAUUCGGCCCUAAGAUGUGAUUUUUUUAAAAUAAUGUCGACCUUGUAAAAAAAAUUUUAUGAUAGACAAUUUUUCAUUUUAAUAUUGAUUAAAAUCAACAACAUCUGCAAGGUAGUUUCAUAGUUUCGACCCCUUGAAUAAAUAAAUGAGGAAAUUCAAUAAAACACCUUGUAUCUCUGUUAUAAAGGUCAUCCACUAAUGAUCCCUAGUUGGGUGAAUUAAUAAUUCAUUUACGGUUAGAACUUUUAAAUAUUUUAGAAGGCCAUUACAUAUCUAUGGUUGAUUAAAAUCUUUGGAAUAUAAUUGCUUUAAUUCAUUAAAAAUAUUUCUUUUAAAUAUAUGUUUAAUUAAUAUUUACUAUGAUAAGCAUUAAACUACUUUGCCCAUUAUACACUGCUCAACAAUCGAAGUGGAUAUUAUAAAAAUCUGCAAUUUUAGUUUGCCAAUGAUUUACAAUAAAACAAAAUUAAAUGUAAUAAAUAAAUCUCUAUUAAGUUCACUCACAAUAGCCCCAAAAUAAAUAAACAGAUAUCUCCUAAAAAAUUUAAAUUUUUAACACACAACAGGAAAAAUUAAAAUAAAAUUAUACCCUGUAAAGCAAGCCCCAAAGUCCUGUCAUGAAAAUUAAUACCUCGUAGGUCCACCCCUGGCUCGUCUUAGUGCUGUCACCCUAUUUGGCGUACUUCUUAUUAAGUUGUUAAUGUAGUGUUGAGGAAUGUUUUGCCAUAUUUCCGGUAAUUGAUUGGCUAGUUGUUCUAAGGUUAGAGGUGCCUGUUCGAGCUGGUUUAAUCUUCGAGACAUUUCGGUCCAUACAUGUUCAAUGCAAUUCAUGUCGGGUGAAUGUGGUGGCCAGUCCAUUCUGAUAAUGCCAUGAAAUUCAAUGCGAUCAUUGACAAUUCUCGCACGGUGCGGGCGCGCAUUAUCAUCGAUUAAAACGAAUUCUUCACCUAUUGCACCAAAAAAUGGUACAAUUAUGUUCUCUAUAAUAAUGUCUCUAUAUCGUUCUCUAUAGCGUUCAUUGUUUCAUUUCUUAACACCACUAAAUCGGUGCGGCCAUCGAAACAUAUGCCUCCCCAAACACAAACUGAACCGCCACCAAAAAGGGUGUAGUGGGCGCCAUCAAAUUUUCAUGGUAUCGCUGUCCCCCAAAAUUCGACCAUCACACACGUGUAGCCGAAAUCUGGACUCAUCCGUAAUCAUACAAGACCUCCAGUUUUGAAAAUUUCAAUUACUGUGUUCUAUUGCCCACCGAUUUCUGCAUGCACGAUGUUCCCCCGUCAACCGUGGAUGUGUGGCACGUCGUCUGGCUCUUAAAUUGGACGCAUGUAAUCUUCUUCUAACAGUCUGAUUAGAAAUUACCCUCCCAGUAGCAUGCCUUAAGUAGCUGUUAAUUCUCGAAGCCGUAAAUGUUCGGUUUCUUUUUGCGGUUACUGUUAUAUAGCGGUCUUGAGCAUGAGUUGUAGCACGUUCUCGGCCUCCACCAUGCCUGUAAGCUGCAGACCCAGUCUCUACAUAUCGAUUCCAUGCACGACUCACGACACUUUGGGACACAUUUAACCGGUUAGCAACUUCUUCUUGAGUUAGGCCCUCCUGUAGCCAACGUACUAAUUGCUCGAGUUGCACUGUUUCUAACCAUCGUAGAACCAUUAUUUUUAAGAAAGUAAAGAGAUUUAUUGCUAACAAUGAGAAUAAUAAAGUCUACAAGCACUUUUAUGUGACUAAAUUGUUAGGAUUUUGAAACCGAAUUCUUUAAAAGAGAUAAGAAUGAACGACAAAAAAUAUUUGCUAUCAACAGGAUUUACUAAUAGCAUAAAACGCAACUUGAUGAAUUUUAUUUUUUUAGGCGAAUUUCGGUAAUUUAUAAAAUAUCCAGUUCGAUUGUUGAGCAGUUUAUAUGAAGUAUUUAGCGUGGUCAGGCUGAAAAAUAAACUAAUUGGAUCCGAAAAUAGCGGGUCUUCAAUAAUAAUAAUCGCCACUAAAAAGUGAUAUUGUCAUAAAUACAUAAUGAGAAAUUAUGAGAGAAUAAUGAGAGAUAAAGUCAAUCUAAAGGUUGAUCAUUAAAAGUUAUACAUCACACCCUCAUUAAACAACAAAAUUCCUUACUCCUAUUCAAAAUGCUCAGCCGCUACAAACAAUUUAAAUUUAUCUAAUUGUUGUUUUCCAUUUUUGCAAAAAAGCAAAUAAUGUAAAAAUUCAAGAAAGUUCAUAGAAAAGCUUUAUAUAAAUCCUUUGCAACAUUGUUUUCACCAAUAAAUGUCAUUUCUGAUCUUAUUACGAGUGUUAUAAGUUAUUGAAGUGACUGGAUUUCAUCUUUAACAUCUUCAAUAAAUUAUGUUGUUUUAUAGCAAUACUAAUAAAAUCAUUAAAAUCAGAAUUUACAAGUUAUGUAUAUAAUUUCAAUUAAGAAUUUGAAUUCUUUUAGAAUUAUUACACUUUUAUAAAAAUCCUGAGGAAUAUUGCUUGAAUAGGGUUUUCUUUUACCAGCCAUUUAAAAACUGCAGAUCACACAUCACUUCUGCCUUAAAUAAACGGUUCCAAGCAUCCUAAUUAGUAAAAAAGUUUAAAAUAUUUGCCUUGAAACAAAGACCCUUAAAAACUCACUAGUAUUCUUUUGAAAUUCUGAUGUUAUCCGUUUGUACGUAAAAUAUUUCAUAAUUCUGGGCAAUUGCUAUAUAAGCUGAAUACCGAACCCUGCAGCAACUUAUACGAAUAAUUUAGAUUACAAACAAAAAUAUUUAAUAACUUUGCACUGCUAAAUUCAAAUUAAACAUCUGUUUAAUAAUGUUGUCCGAAUGUAUUCCACUUUUCAACCCCGGAAACCUAAUUGAAUAGAUUGAAACCUAAGGCCAAUAAACUUUGUUAUUGUUAAUUACGUUUCCCAGGGGCUUUUAUGUCUACAAUUAUAUCUAUACUGUACCUUUAUAUUAGAGUGUAAACAUUUUAGCUCAAUUGUGUAAAUUUACACUGAACACAUAAAAAAAUACUAGAGACAACAAUUACUGAUAAUAUAUUUUUUUUCGCUUUGCUUAUCAGCAAUAAUAUUUUUUGUGUUCAGUGUAAACUACGUUUAUUAUAAUUUCCUAUUUUAUAAAUAGAUUUUUUACUUGCCAAUCUGUUAGCACAAUUUAAUAGAAAUGUAUAUUUUUAUAAAAAGCAUGAUUGUUACUAUAGUUGUUAUUUGUAUGAAUCUAUUGUACGUUAUUUGUUAAAAUGUUUAAUGAUCUACAGUAUUCCCGGCUUUUCACAUUUUCCUUUUCAGACGUAUUUUCGAAUUAUUUGUGCGUUUGGUAGUAUUUGUCUUCCUAGCUCUUAUUGAUAGAAUCAUUCUGAAAUGUCAAUAAAAACAAAUUUAUAGAGCACUGUUUUUUCUACACCUUGAUAAUUGAAGACAUAAGAACUAGAAUAAGCAAAAAUUUUGUUUUUGUACAGGGUUGCCCAAAUUCGAAAACUGAAAUUAACCUACCCCAUAAGACAUACAAGAUCGGUUAAAUUUUGACAAUUGUAUUAAAUAAAUUAAUGUUUAUAAAUUACGUUUAAGUUUAAUAGAAAUUUUAGAUGUUUUUUUAGCGUAAGAUAAAAGGAAGGAAAUAAUAAUGUAUUAGUAGCGCUUUUUUAUUGAGAAAUGAUGUCUUAACUGAAAUUCCGGCGUUUUGUCUUGCAUAAAUCAUUUUCAACUUUUAUUUUACUUAUUCAUUAAAAGCAAAUUAAUCUAACCUAACACCUAACAUUUUUGACCACAAGCAGUAUAAAAGUUACAUUUUAAUUCACUAUUCAAGACUCUCAUAGGACAACCUAAACAACAACCAUAGGCAAAAGGAAAUAGCUCAAUGAAACUUAUUUCACACUGCUAUUUAAAUGUCUCAAAAACGGAUUUCUACCUACAAAGCAGUCUAGCUGAACUGAGUAAUGGUUAGCUAGUUUGCUACCUCUAGUGACAAAAGAACUGCAUUCAUAAUUUGUCUUUUCAGAGAGUACGUGAAAAGAAGCUGCGUGUCUGAUCAAUCUACCAGGUAAAUGAAUUAUUGGAGUGGAGAAUGUCAUAGACGGUCACAAAUCAUGAUGUUAUCGACGAGUCUGAAAUCUAGGAAGAGUAGGUAAAGGAAUACUAUUCUUAAAAGCAGUAUACGUCAAACACUUCUGCUAGACUUGUUCAAAGAUUUGUGUGAGGUUGUUAUAAUGUGGUGGCCAUACACAGGACCUAUAUUCAAGAAACUGGGACACAGCUGACAUAACAUGAGACCAAAAAUUGAUCUGGGAGUCUACUGUAAUACCUAGAUCCUUCACACUAGAGACAACUUCCAAAGGGAUUCUUUCAAUGGAAUAAAUAUAACCUAGAGGGUUAACACUUUGACUAUAAAUCAUACAAUGACAUUUCCCAAUAUUUAGGUUCACAUAGUUGAUUUUACAAUAUGCAAGAAGCUGUUGGAGAUCAUGAUGCACUUUAAGGCAGUCACUAGGAUUUAAAGCUUUGCAAUAGAACUUGCGAUCAUCAGCAAACAAUAGGAACAUGCCGUAUUUAAAACAACUAGCACUGUCAUUAAUGUAGAGAGUAAAAAGGAGGGGUCCCAAGCGUCAAUCAUCUCCUUAGACUUGUAAUUACACACCAUCACAAGCUGCUACCGAUUAGUUAAGUAAUAUAAGUAGUAGCCAAUUGUAUAAGGAUUGGCUAAAGCUGAACUGAGAUAAUUUAUUCAACAAAAGAGCAAGAUUUACACGAUCGAAAGUUUUUGAGAAAUCAGUAUACACUGCGUAUAUCUGACCUUAAAAAACCUGUGUAACAAAAUAAUGUACAAGUUUUUCGAAUAACUUUGGAACAACACUGAGGAUGCUUAUUGGUCUAUAAUUAUUAACCUGAGCGUGAUAGUCAGAUUUUGGAAUCGGUGUGAUAAACUUGUAUUUCCAAAAUUCAGGACAAAUCCCAGCUUUCAAGGAUAAAUUGAGGUAUUAUGAAGCUACAUUUUUUCAAAAAAAUAGUAGGCAAGACAUUAGACCUUUAGAAGCAUCUAAAUCACUCAACCCAGCAUAGACAUCUGAAACGGAUAAGUUUAAAUUGGGAAUAUAUAGAUUAUUCAUUGUUGAAGUAAAAUUUUUAUAUUAUUAUUGCGAGUUAUGCUCAGUGAAAAGAACAUAUCGGUUAUAAGACUCUUUUUUUUAUAAUUUCACAAUUUGAUCCUGUUUCAGAAAGAAUGUUAUAGUCUGCUAACAAUUUGGAAACCAUAUAUUUCUUAUGAGCUAUCUUUUUUGAGAGUAUUAAUUAUUUCAAGCGAAAACGAAUACGGAAAUUUUUUUGUAUAACAGUAAAAGCACAAGGCAGUCUAUACAUACAUAAACAAUUUUAUAAAAUAUAUUUAACGUAUCGUUCAAGGAUUUAUCUAACAAUAAUUUAUUCAAACUGUGACAUAAAAUCUAAAAUUGCUUUCCAGUCAGGAGAGUUAAAAUCCCUGUAAUAACAACUGCCUGAGAAUUGAAGAGAUUUGUCAGUUAAGGCACAUUCUAUGGAAAAAAACCAUCAAGUUCCAGCAACCUAACUUCCUGAGUAAGGACAUCAUUGGAGGGUACAAACACAAAAUUCAAAAUUGAGCCAGUUGCAUUAGAUUAUUAUACAUUUUCAUCCUGGAUUUUUUAUGUUUUGUGGUUUAUUCAUUCUCAUCAUUAAGUAUUGUAACAUAUAAUACUUUAAUCACAAAAUCUAUGGAGAAAAGCACAAUUAAAACCUAUCUCCGACUGGCACGUCAUUUUUGCAUUAAAUUGACUUCUGUCAAAAUCAUAAUAGAACAGUAGUUCUGGUGGUAGAAUCGCAUGAAAAAUUGACUUUUCCCUAUUCACAUUUUGGAAGUAGAGUUCUGUCAAAAUAAUGUAAUGUUGAGUAAUCGUUUUUUUAUUAAAAAGAAAAUGUAUAUUGCAUCUUGUCGUUGAGCAGGGAAACCCCCGGAUUUUAAUUAACACACUAACGACACAAAAAAUUUCAAUCCUAAAUAUAUUGGGCAUGAGCUCUAUGUCAGAGCUGUAUUUGAAAAAAUAAUAUUAAAAAAAGGUAGAUGAUGGGCGCCAAGAGACGAAACGUCGUAACACAAAUUUUAAAUUGCUAUCAUAGUAGGGCGUAGUAUCAAUAAGAAAGUGUAAGGUAUUUUGCUCUAUGGCUUUGGGAAAAGAAUUAAAAAAAAAUCAAAAUCUACAGCAUUAAACUCUAAUUUUCUAAUGACAUGUUAUAUACAAGGAGAAUAAGAUGCUGAUCCUUAAGGGUGUUAGUCCUUAGUGUUUUUAAGAAGAAAAGUUCAAAUAAAGCUUGUCUUAAACACCUUAAUAUGUGAGCUACAGGGUAAUAAAAUCUUAAGGAAAAAAUCGUUUCUUCACUUCACUACUAACUUCCUAGAUAUAUUUAUGAAAUUUAGCACACACCCUCUGAGUAUCAACAGCUAUUUUUUGAUGUAGAAGUUUUUUAAAGUUUAACCAGUGGCGUCCGUACAGGAACAAAGACUACAUAUUAAAAAAACAUAUUGCCAUUGCUUUUGCUUAAAAUAAAAUCUUUUUUUAUAUUCCCCACUCAUGUUAGGGCAAAUUCAUUUAAAAAAAUAUAAACAUACGCACAGGGUGGCCAUUUUAUUAGAGGCUGGCUUUUUAAAAUCUAGAGUUUCGGAAAUAAACUCCUGGACAAAAUUAUCGCACCACUAAUUAUGUUGUCAAGAAAAUUUAAAUAAAAAUAAAUAUCAGUUAAAACAGUUAUAUCUUUUCUCGUAUAAAAAGCAGAACUGGACAAAAACUAUGUUUAUGCUUUAUCAUGGAACAUGCUGCUCGUGAGGAGUGAGAAUACAUCCGCAGGAAAGUUUUCAUAAUUUGAUACGAGGAUUUCAUUAUGGGUCUAUUGUUUUAUUUUUGUAUCAAAAUUGAAGUUAGUGAAAAUCGAUGCUUUUCCUUGUAUUGAAUUAAGUUACUUAAAUCUCGUUUUGUUAAAUAGAAUAUAAUUGUUUUUGUUAAUUAAUAAUGCAUAGUUAACAAUGCUUAUAAGUUUGCUUAUUUUUUUAUCUUUAUUAAAAAAAAAUCUCUAAAAAUCAAGUGGUGCGAUAAUUUUGUCCAGGAGUUUAUUUAUAAUUUCAUUAAAGUGAUGUAAUUUUAAUAACUGUUAUAACUUUCAACAAUAAUAACGCUCUUUGACCAAUUUCGUUAAUUUAGUAUUUCACCUUAGUAGACUGUGACAUACGAAGGUUGCCUUUAUUUCUCCCAAGGAACCUAAAAAUAUACGCAAUGUCCCAUUUAAAAUUCUGGUGUUAAAGUCGGUGCAGCACUUUAUGAACACCCUGUAUUGAUGAAACUCAAAUAAUUUAAAAAUUCACUUAAAACAAAAACAAUUCUGUAAGAACAUUUUUUAGACACCCUGUAGAUUCUGAGAAAAAUGAUGGGCCUCUAAAAAUGGCCACCCUCUACAUUAUUUUACCACAACUAGAUUAGCGGUACUUUAAUAUUAAAUAGUUUUUAAAAAUUUCAUAGAAGUCUCAUAAAUUUUGUUCUAAGGGUGACGACUUCAACAUCGUAGCUCUCAGGUUAAGGAGUUAAGCUCUAUUUGAACAUUUCUUCUUAAAAUUACCUAAAGAUAACACCCUUAAGGAUCAGCAUCUUAUUUUGUAAUACUCUGUGUAACAUUGGAUCAUGUUUGUGUUAAUUUAAUAAGUCUUAUACCAGCAUCUUGGAGACAGAAUGGCUGAUCUAUUAAUCUAUUAAUUACAUUUAAAUUUUUGGAUUUUUCCGGGAAUAUUAGGAAAAUCAUUUUAAUGACUACGAAAUUACGCAGCUUAGCGAUAAUUUACCGACCUUGUAUCUCUUACCACCUCGAAUUUGAGAUACCCUGUACCCAUUAUAACCGUCGAAAGAAAACAAGCUUUUUUUUUUUCAAUAUUUUUUAUUUCUUUUUAUAUAAUACUUAACACUAAUUUACUCUAAUUUAUAUGUUCAAGUAAUAAAUUAGGAGGGAGUGUUGAAUAAGUU
This 13537-nucleotide unclassified non-coding RNA is filed under the name Anthonomus grandis grandis. Its description in RNAcentral is "phospholipid-transporting ATPase VD". The record is from RNAcentral. Lineage: Eukaryota; Metazoa; Arthropoda; Insecta; Coleoptera; Curculionidae.